CCUACGGGAGGCAGCAGUGGGGAAUAUUGGACAAUGGGCGAAAGCCUGAUCCAGCAAUGCCGCGUGAGUGAUGAAGGCCUUAGGGUUGUAAAGCUCUUUUACCAGGGAUGAUAAUGACAGUACCUGGAGAAUAAGCUCCGGCUAACUCCGUGCCAGCAGCCGCGGUAAUACGGAGGGAGCUAGCGUUGUUCGGAAUUACUGGGCGUAAAGCGUGCGUAGGCGGUGAUUCAAGUCAGAGGUGAAAGCCUGGAGCUCAACUCCAGAACGGCCUUUGAAACUAGAUCGCUAGAAUUAUGGAGAGGUAAGUGGAAUUCCGAGUGUAGAGGUGAAAUUCGUAGAUAUUCGGAAGAACACCAGUGGCGAAGGCGACUUACUGGACAUAUAUUGACGCUGAGGUACGAAAGCGUGGGGAGCAAACAGGAUUAGAUACCCUGGUAGUCCACGCCGUAAACGAUGAUAACUAGCUGUUCGGGCUCUCAGAGCUUGAGUGGCGCAGCUAACGCAUUAAGUUAUCCGCCUGGGGAUACGGUCGCAAGNUUAAAACUCAAAGGAAUUGACGG
This 560-nucleotide ribosomal RNA is filed under the name uncultured bacterium. RNAcentral describes it as "bacterial SSU rRNA". It matches the Rfam family "Bacterial small subunit ribosomal RNA", at positions 338 to 916 of the family's 1533-position model. The record is from RNAcentral.